GUCCCCCGGCUGGUACUGCAGCCCCUCCUGGCCUCCAGUGUCCAGGCGCACCAGGAUCGUGGCCCGGCUGGGGGGUGAGGAGGUUUUCGACUGAGAGGAUGGUAGCCUGGAACAUCUUCCUCCGGUGCACAUGGAUCAGGCCUGGGGGGAGAGAGAGACUCAGCCAGAAGCCCGGCCCGGCCCCUGAGGGAGGACACCAGCGGGUCUGAGCAGGAGACACUGUUGAAGCGGAUUUUGUAACUCCUGGCAAAAGAAGACCAAGACAGGGCCGUCACAGGGAGCUGGAGGCUCGGUGCGGGCCCAGACACAGCCAGGGGACAGCUUCAGGGUGUCUACAUCUGGGGUAAGAAGGGCCCUGUCCUCGGGCUUGGCUCUGUCUCCCAGAGAUCUCUGCGCCUUCAGGCCCUGCGUGCCCCCCUUGUUCUCUCUGAAGGACACCUCAGGACUGGCCAGACUGUGAGUGGGCAGGUCACAAGGGAGGAGGGCAUCCUGAGCUGUGAUGGGGUCCAGGCCCCCUCACCUCUGCCCUCCAGCUUGUGGAGGUGCAGAGGGGGAACAUUUCAGCCCCCCUUUUCUCGUUGUCUCCAGAUGCCUCACUGCCCUCCCUCCACCUCCCCCCAAAGUCCCACCCCCACUCACCUGUGUUGUUCUGGCCGAGGGGAGCUGUUGUAGGGACCAGACAUUUCCAUCAGGGCCGCCGCAAAACUCUGGCGAGGGGAAGCGUGGUUAUCGUGGUUAGUUUUGCUUUACUUCAAACCACACAGAAGUUGAAAACUGUACUGGGCUGAUCCUUAGAAUUCUUAUCUGUAAAUUGUGAUUUUGUUUGGAAAAUUUCAAACCAGGUAGCGGCUUUCUGGAAACAUGACAGAACCAUAAAAUGAUAAAAGGGAAAAUCUACCUUCCCUUCCCUCUAGUCCGGGCCCCCAAGGCAGGGGCCCUGUUGACAGGUGUUUAACCUCCGAGCUCUGUUUCGUUGAACUCAGAAAUGUAUCUGUAUUUAUAGUUUGUUAAAAAAGUAAAAAUGGGGCCACACCAUAUUUAUCUGCUUUUUCUUAACAACCUGUCAUGGAUAUAUCAUGGAUGUCCUUCCUUCCAGGUCAUCACAUGAAGAAUGACCUCCUUUCAAAAAACAAAAAUUUUCAAAAUUCUUAUUUAUUUGGGAGAGAGAGGGAGAGAGACAGAG
This is a long non-coding RNA of Lynx canadensis (Canada lynx), 1183 nucleotides long. RefSeq lists it as uncharacterized. The transcript has 3 exons. NCBI's taxonomy places the organism in Eukaryota, Metazoa, Chordata, Mammalia, Carnivora, Felidae. The record is from RefSeq and is a predicted model, not a curated record.